Molecule: long non-coding RNA, 1406 nt
Organism: Paramormyrops kingsleyae
Lineage: Eukaryota; Metazoa; Chordata; Actinopteri; Osteoglossiformes; Mormyridae
Source: RefSeq, a predicted model, not a curated record
GCUGUGGCAGAUCAGCUCCUCCUGAUGGUGUCUGAUGUCACUCCUUUCAACUAGCGUAUUAUGAGACUCAGGCUAAGGCACUCCUUGGGUGUCUUGUCUGUUAUCUCAAUGUAUGCUCCGGCCGAGUGAUGUCUCGUUGAGGGAGACAUUUUACUCGCUCAGUGGUUGAUAGGUGCGAUGAGGUGACACUCCUUUGGUCAUGGGUGACUUCAGUGUGGCCACUGGCACUGACAGGGCUGGCUAUGAGGAUUGUGUUGGUCCCCGCGGGUUUGGUACCUGGGCUGAAAGUGGCUCCAUGUUCCUUGACUUUGAGAAAGGUCAGGGGCUGUGUGGUGAUGGAUCCUGGUUCCAUAGCCCUGAGCUGCAUCAUUGGACUUGGUACACUGAUGGUGCAGUGAAGGAGAUCGAUCGCAUCCUUGUGAGCAGAUGCUGGAGGUUCCUGCAGCCUGCAGAGUUUGUGAAUUCUGACCACAGACUUCUUGUUGCUUCUCUGAAGAUUCAGCUUAGAUCCAGUAGGCUACCACUUAUUAGGAGAAUGAGGGUAGACUUGGCAAGACUCUAAGAUCAAGCUAUUUGUGAUAAGUUUGCAUGUAGUUUGUGUGAGGAACUUGUAUACUUGGGUGUGACUGCCUACUCUAAUGUGAUGUGGGAGACCUUCCGUGACAAGACCCUGAAGGUUGCUAUGGGUUAUGUUUGUGUUACUGGUUUUGCCAGAAGGAGGUUUUUCAUGUCGUAGGGCACCCUAGAUAUUAUCAAGAGGAGGCGCCGGGCAGGACUCGGUGGCAACUCCCGUCUGUACCAGCAAUUGAGGAGGACAGCUGUGAGGCCUCUGAGGGCAGAUAAAGACGUGUUUGUUAGAUGAAUCUGUGAGCAGGUGACACACCAUCUGUAGUCUAGUGACCCACAUCCUGCUUACAGAGGUAUCGAAGCAUUACGUGCAUCUGAAUCUUUUCCUCAGAGAGUAGCAAUCAGGGCAGGUGAAGGAACACUACAGUUGUGAACCUCUGGGCCAGCUACUUGGAGUGGCUGUUUAAAGAUGACCCUCCAGCUAGGACGUUGGACAUCUCUGGGUCCACAGUUCUUGAGGCCGAUCCUCCAAUCAGCUGUGAACCACCCGAUCUGGAAGGGUCAACAACCAGGAUCCCAAGGUGUUUCAUAUAUGAGUGUGAGAUGAAGAUACUUCACCGAGAAGUGAAUUUACUGAUCUGUACAAGGGAGGACAGACCGUUGCCCUUGAUGUGACACAGAACGGUCACAGCAGCGUGGAUUUAAAGUGCGAUCCGGGUUUGCACCUGUGAAUGCUUGCAGAGCCGUGGUCAUGUGAUUUUUGGUCAGUGAUUUUUAUGUAAGUGUGGCAGUAGUGCACAACUUAUCUAAUAUACAAAACAUGAAAGAAGGGUGGUGUU